RNAcentral lists this ribosomal RNA (439 nucleotides) under uncultured bacterium. Its description in RNAcentral is "partial 16S ribosomal RNA". It matches the Rfam family "Bacterial small subunit ribosomal RNA", at positions 339 to 795 of the family's 1533-position model. The record is from RNAcentral.
CUACGGGGUGCAGCAGUGAGGAAUAUUGCACAAUGGGGGAAACCCUGAUGCAGCAACGCCGCGUGGAGGAUGACGCAUUUCGGUGUGUAAACUCCUUUUAUGAGUCAAGAAAAUGACGGUAGCUCAUGAAUAAGCACCGGCUAACUCCGUGCCAGCAGCCGCGGUAAUACGGAGGGUGCAAGCGUUACUCGGAAUCACUGGGCGUAAAGGACGCGUAGGCGGGACGUCAAGUCAGGUGUGAAAUCCUAUGGCUCAACCAUAGAACUGCACUUGAAACUGGCAACCUAGAGUAUGGGAGGGGGAGAUGGAAUUAGUGGUGUAGGGGUAAUAUCCGUAGAUAUCACUAGGAAUACCUAAAGCGAAGGCGAUCUCCUGGAACAUUACUGACGCUAAGGCGUGAAAGCGUGGGGAGCAAACAGGAUUAGAUACCCGGGUAGUC